GACGAACGCUGGCGGCGUGCUUAACACAUGCAAGUCGAACGGAAAGGCCCUGCUUGCAGGGUACUCGAGUGGCGAACGGGGGAGUAACACGCGGGUGAUCUGCCCUGCACCUCGGGAUAAGCCCGGGAAACUGGGUCUAAUACCGGACCGGAGCCAUUUUUAGUGUGAUGGUUGGAAAGUUUUAUCGGUGUGGUAUGAGCGUGCGGCCUAGCCGCAUGGUGGUGGGGGAAUGGCCUACCAAGGCGGCGACGGGUAGCCGGCCUGGGAGUGUGGACGGGCACAGUGAGACUGAGAUACGGACCAGACUCCGACGGGUAGGAGAAGUGGGAGAUGUUACUAAAUGGGCGUGAGCGUGAUGCAGCGACGCCGCGGGGGGGAGGACGACCAUCGGGUUGUAGUCGCCUUUCGCUUGGGACGAGGCUUUUUGUGACAGUACCGGGAUAAGAAGCACCGGCUAACUACGUG
RNAcentral lists this ribosomal RNA (465 nucleotides) under uncultured bacterium. RNAcentral's name for it is "partial 16S ribosomal RNA". It matches the Rfam family "Bacterial small subunit ribosomal RNA", at positions 28 to 507 of the family's 1533-position model. The record is from RNAcentral.